Molecule: ribosomal RNA, 670 nt
Filed under: Escherichia coli
Lineage: Bacteria; Pseudomonadati; Pseudomonadota; Gammaproteobacteria; Enterobacterales; Enterobacteriaceae
Description: partial 23S ribosomal RNA
Rfam family: Bacterial large subunit ribosomal RNA
Source: RNAcentral
GUGGGUAGUUUGACUGGGGCGGUCUCCUCCUAAAGAGUAACGGAGGAGCACGAAGGUUGGCUAAUCCUGGUCGGACAUCAGGAGGUUAGUGCAAUGGCAUAAGCCAGCUUGACUGCGAGCGUGACGGCGCGAGCAGGUGCGAAAGCAGGUCAUAGUGAUCCGGUGGUUCUGAAUGGAAGGGCCAUCGCUCAACGGAUAAAAGGUACUCCGGGGAUAACAGGCUGAUACCGCCCAAGAGUUCAUAUCGACGGCGGUGUUUGGCACCUCGAUGUCGGCUCAUCACAUCCUGGGGCUGAAGUAGGUCCCAAGGGUAUGGCUGUUCGCCAUUUAAAGUGGUACGCGAGCUGGGUUUAGAACGUCGUGAGACAGUUCGGUCCCUAUCUGCCGUGGGCGCUGGAGAACUGAGGGGGGCUGCUCCUAGUACGAGAGGACCGGAGUGGACGCAUCACUGGUGUUCGGGUUGUCAUGCCAAUGGCACUGCCCGGUAGCUAAAUGCGGAAGAGAUAAGUGCUGAAAGCAUCUAAGCACGAAACUUGCCCCGAGAUGAGUUCUCCCUGACUCCUUGAGAGUCCUGAAGGAACGUUGAAGACGACGACGUUGAUAGGCCGGGUGUGUAAGCGCAGCGAUGCGUUGAGCUAACCGGUACUAAUGAACCGUGAGGCUUAACCUU